GUCGAACGGAACUGUUUUGAAAGAUUUCUUCGGAAUGAAUUUGAUUUAGUUCAUUGGCGGACGGGUGAGUAACGCGUGAGUAACCUGCCUUCAAGAGGGGGAUAACAUUCUGAAAAGAAUGCUAAUACCGCAUGACAUAUCGGAACCACAUGGUUCUGAUAUCAAAGAUUUUAUCGCUUGAAGAUGGACUCGCGUCCGAUUAGUUAGUUGGUGAGGUAACGGCUCACCAAGACCGCGAUCGGUAGCCGGACUGAGAGGUUGAACGGCCACAUUGGGACUGAGACACGGCCCAGACUCCUACGGGAGGCAGCAGUGGGGGAUAUUGCGCAAUGGGGGCAACCCUGACGCAGCAACGCCGCGUGAAGGAUGAAGGUUUUCGGAUUGUAAACUUCUUUUAUUAAGGACGAAAAUUGACGGUACUUAAUGAAUAAGCUCCGGCUAACUACGUGCCAGCAGCCGCGGUAAUACGUAGGGAGCAAGCGUUGUCCGGAUUUACUGGGUGUAAAGGGUGCGUAGGCGGCUUUGCAAGUCAGAUGUGAAAUCUAUGGGCUCAACCCAUAAACUGCAUUUGAAACUGUAGAGCUUGAGUGAAGUAGAGGCAGGCGGAAUUCCCCGUGUAGCGGUGAAAUGCGUAGAGAUGGGGAGGAACACCAGUGGCGAAGGCGGCCUGCUGGGCUUUAACUGACGCUGAGGCACGAAAGCGUGGGUAGCAAACAGGAUUAGAUACCCUGGUAGUCCACGCUGUAAACGAUGAUUACUA
Molecule: ribosomal RNA, 760 nt
Filed under: uncultured bacterium
Lineage: Bacteria
Description: bacterial SSU rRNA
Rfam family: Bacterial small subunit ribosomal RNA
Source: RNAcentral